Molecule: ribosomal RNA, 498 nt
Filed under: uncultured bacterium
Lineage: Bacteria
Description: partial 16S ribosomal RNA
Rfam family: Bacterial small subunit ribosomal RNA
Source: RNAcentral
AUUGAACGCUGGCGGCAUGCCUUACACAUGCAAGUCGAACGGUAACAGGUCUUCGGAUGCUGACGAGUGGCGAACGGGUGAGUAAUACAUCGGAACGUGCCUAGUAGUGGGGGAUAACUACUCGAAAGAGUGGCUAAUACCGCAUGAGAUCUACGGAUGAAAGCAGGGGAUCGCAAGACCUUGUGCUACUAGAGCGGCCGAUGGCAGAUUAGGUAGUUGGUGGGAUAAAAGCUUACCAAGCCGACGAUCUGUAGCUGGUCUGAGAGGACGAUCAGCCACACUGGGACUGAGACACGGCCCAGACUCCUACGGGAGGCAGCAGUGGGGAAUUUUGGACAAUGGGCGCAAGCCUGAUCCAGCAACGCCGCAUGCAGGAUGAAGGCCUUCGGGUUGUAAACUGCUUUUGUACGGAACGAAAAGCCCCGGGUUAAUACCCUGGGGUCAUGACGGUACCGUAAGAAUAAGCACCGGCUAACUACGUGCCAGCCGCCGCAGUAA